Molecule: transfer RNA, 78 nt
Filed under: Candidatus Latescibacterota bacterium
Lineage: Bacteria; Pseudomonadati; Candidatus Latescibacterota
Description: tRNA-Pro
Rfam family: tRNA (bases 7-66)
About the family: Transfer RNA (tRNA) molecules are approximately 80 nucleotides in length. Their secondary structure includes four short double-helical elements and three loops (D, anti-codon, and T loops).
Source: RNAcentral
GGGGCGUAGCGCAGUCUGGUUAGCGUGCGUCGUUCGGGACGACGAGGUCGAGAGUUCGAAUCUCUCACAAACCCGCCA